This 384-nucleotide RNase P RNA is filed under the name Georgenia muralis. RNAcentral's name for it is "Bacterial RNase P class A". It matches the Rfam family "Bacterial RNase P class A". Rfam says of the family: Ribonuclease P (RNase P) is a ubiquitous endoribonuclease, found in archaea, bacteria and eukarya as well as chloroplasts and mitochondria. Its best characterised activity is the generation of mature 5'-ends of tRNAs by cleaving the 5'-leader elements of precursor-tRNAs. Cellular RNase Ps are ribonucleoproteins. The record is from Rfam by way of RNAcentral. Lineage: Bacteria; Bacillati; Actinomycetota; Actinomycetes; Allobogoriellales; Allobogoriellaceae.
UGAGUCGGCCAGGCGGUCGCGUCGUCCCGGCCUCGGCCGGGACGCCGAGGAACGUCCGGGCUCCAUAGGGCAGGGUGGUGGGUAACACCCACCCGGGGUGACCCGCGGGACAGUGCCACAGAGAGCAGACCGCCGUCGGAGCGAUCCGGCGGUAAGGGUGAAACGGUGGUGUAAGAGACCACCAGCGCGGCGGGUGACCGUCGCGGCUAGGCAAACCCCACCCGGAGCAAGACCAGACAGCAGGCGUGAUCAGGGCUGCCCGCCCGAGCCUGCGGGUAGGUCGCUGGAGGCGUGCGGCAACGUACGUCGUAGAUGGAUGGCCGCCACCGACGGGACGGCAACGACCCGGCGGGACAGAACCCGGCGUACCGGCCGACUCGUCCG